UCCGGUUGAUCCUGGCGGAGGCCACUGCUAUCGGAGUUCGAUUAAGCCAUGCGAGUCGAGAGGUGUAAGACCUCGGCAUACUGCUCAGUAACACGUGGACAACCUACCCUGAAGAGGGGGAUAACCCCGGGAAACUGGGGAUAAUACCCCAUAGACUAUGGAUGCUGGAAUGCUUUGUAGUUGAAAGGUCCGCCGCUUCAGGAUGGGUCUGCGGCCGAUUAGGUUGUUGUUGGGGUAACGGCCCAACAAGCCUGUAAUCGGUACGGGUUGUGGGAGCAAGAGCCCGGAGAUGGAUUCUGAGACACGAAUCCAGGCCCUACGGGGCGCAGCAGGCGCGAAAACUUUACAAUGCGAGAAAUCGUGAUAAGGGAACUCCGAGUGCCCGUAAAAUCGGGCUGUCCGCCAGUGUAAAUAACUGGUGAAGAAAGGGCCGGGCAAGACCGGUGCCAGCCGCCGCGGUAAUACCGGCGGCUCGAGUGGUGGCCACUAUUACUGGGCUUAAAGCGUUCGUAGCUGGUCUGUUAAGUCUCUGGGGAAAUCUUCCGGCUUAACCGGAAGGCGCCUCAGGGAUACUGGCAGACUAGGGACCGGAAGAGGUGAGAGGUACUCCAGGGGUAGGAGUGAAAUCCUGUAAUCCUUGGGGGACCACCUGUGGCGAAGGCGUCUCACCAGGACGGCUCCGACAGUGAGGAACGAAAGCUGGGGGAGCAAACCGGAUUAGAUACCCGGGUAGUCCCAGCUGUAAACGAUGCGCGUUAGGUGUAUCGGUGACCACGAGUCACCGAGGUGCCGAAGAGAAAUCGUGAAACGCGCCGCCUGGGAAGUACGGUCGCAAGGCUGAAACUUAAAGGAAUUGGCGGGGGAGCACCACAACGGGUGGAGCCUGCGGUUUAAUCGGACUCAACGCCGGGAAACUCACCGGACAAGACAGCUGAAUGAUAGUCGGGCUGAAGACUCUACUUGACUAGCUGAGAGGAGGUGCAUGGCCGUCGUCAGUUCGUACUGUGAAGCAUCCUGUUAAGUCAGGCAACGAGCGAGACCCA
This 1043-nucleotide ribosomal RNA is filed under the name uncultured archaeon. RNAcentral describes it as "bacterial SSU rRNA". It matches the Rfam family "Archaeal small subunit ribosomal RNA", at positions 1 to 1054 of the family's 1478-position model. The record is from RNAcentral.